RNAcentral lists this ribosomal RNA (503 nucleotides) under uncultured bacterium. Its description in RNAcentral is "partial 16S ribosomal RNA". It matches the Rfam family "Bacterial small subunit ribosomal RNA", at positions 30 to 523 of the family's 1533-position model. The record is from RNAcentral.
AUUGAACGCUGGCGGCAGGCUUAACACAUGCAAGUCGAUCGGGGUGAUGGUGCUUGCACAAUCACUUAGCGGCGGACGGGUGAGUAAUGCUUAGGAAUCUGCCUAUUAGUGGGGGACAACAUCUCGAAAGGGAUGCUAAUACCGCAUACGUCCUACGGGAGAAAGCGGGGGAUCACUUGUGACCUUGCGCUAAUAGAUGAGCCUAAGUCGGAUUAGCUAGUUGGUGGGGUAAAGGCCUACCAAGGCGACGAUCUGUAGCGGGUCUGAGAGGAUGAUCCGCCACACUGGGACUGAGACACGGCCCAGACUCCUACGGGAGGCAGCAGUGGGGAAUAUUGGACAAUGGGGGGAACCCUGAUCCAGCCAUGCCGCGUGCGUGAAGAAGGCCUUAUGGUUGUAAAGCACUUUAAGCGAGGAGGAGGCUCUCUUGGUUAAUACCCAAGAUGAGUGGACGUUACUCGCAGAAUAAGCACCGGCUAACUCUGUGCCAGCAGCCGCAGUAA